Molecule: ribosomal RNA, 253 nt
Filed under: uncultured bacterium
Lineage: Bacteria
Description: partial 16S ribosomal RNA
Rfam family: Bacterial small subunit ribosomal RNA
Source: RNAcentral
UACGUAGGGACCAAGCGUUGUCCGGAAUCAUUGGGCGUAAAGGGCGCGUAGGCGGCAUGGCAAGUGGAUGGUGAAAUCCCUCGGCUUAACCGAGGAACUGCCGUCCAAACUGCUUCGCUUGAGACCGGGAGAGGUGAGUGGAAUUCCCAGUGUAGCGGUGAAAUGCGUAGAUAUUGGGAGGAACACCAGUGGCGAAGGCGGCUCACUGGACCGGUACUGACGCUGAAGCGCGAAAGCGUGGGGAGCAAACGGG